GAUGAACGCUGGCGGCGUGCUUAACACAUGCAAGUCGAACGGUGAAGGCGGAGCUUGCUCUGCUGGAUCAGUGGCGAACGGGUGAGUAACACGUGAGCAAUCUGCCCCUGACUCUGGGAUAAGCGCUGGAAACGGCGUCUAAUACUGGAUACGAGCUGCGAAGGCAUCUUCAGCAGCUGGAAAGAAUUUCGGUCAGGGAUGAGCUCGCGGCCUAUCAGCUUGUUGGUGAGGUAAUGGCUCACCAAGGCGUCGACGGGUAGCCGGCCUGAGAGGGUGACCGGCCACACUGGGACUGAGACACGGCCCAGACUCCUACGGGAGGCAGCAGUGGGGAAUAUUGCACAAUGGGCGAAAGCCUUAUGCAGCAACGCCGCGUGAGGGACGACGGCCUUCGGGUUGUAAACCUCUUUUAGCAGGGAAGAAGCGAAAGUGACGGUACCUGCAGAAAAAGCGCCGGCUAACUACGUG
This 468-nucleotide ribosomal RNA is filed under the name uncultured bacterium. RNAcentral describes it as "partial 16S ribosomal RNA". It matches the Rfam family "Bacterial small subunit ribosomal RNA", at positions 28 to 507 of the family's 1533-position model. The record is from RNAcentral.